Molecule: microRNA precursor, 95 nt
Filed under: Canis lupus familiaris (dog)
Lineage: Eukaryota; Metazoa; Chordata; Mammalia; Carnivora; Canidae
Also listed under: 1 other name
Description: mir-8834 microRNA precursor family
Rfam family: mir-8834 microRNA precursor family
Source: Rfam by way of RNAcentral
AGGAGGAACAGCGCCAGUGGCGGGGCCAGGUCUGGAAACCUGGAUUCAGCUCCGGCAGGAACUCCGUCUGCAGGGCCUGGAGGCUCCGGGGCGGG